This 460-nucleotide ribosomal RNA is filed under the name uncultured bacterium. RNAcentral's name for it is "partial 16S ribosomal RNA". It matches the Rfam family "Bacterial small subunit ribosomal RNA", at positions 338 to 795 of the family's 1533-position model. The record is from RNAcentral.
CCUACGGGUGGCAGCAGUGAGGAAUAUUGGUCAAUGGACGAGAGUCUGAACCAGCCAAGUAGCGUGAAGGAUGACUGCCCUAUGGGUUGUAAACUUCUUUUAUAUGGGAAUAAAACGUUCCACGUGUGGGAUUUUGUAUGUACCAUAUGAAUAAGGAUCGGCUAACUCCGUGCCAGCAGCCGCGGUAAUACGGAGGAUCCGAGCGUUAUCCGGAUUUAUUGGGUUUAAAGGGAGCGUCGGUGGAGUGUUAAGUCAGUUGUGAAAGUUUGCGGCUCAACCGUAAAAUUGCAGUUGAAACCGGCAGUCUUGAGUACAGUAGAGGUGGGCGGAAUGCGUGGUGUAGCGGUGAAAUGCUUAGAUAUCACGAAGAACUCCGAUUGCGAAGGCAGUUCACUGGACUGCAACUGACACUGAGGCUCGAAAGUGUGGGUAUCAAACAGGAUUAGAUACCCGAGUAGUC